UACGUAGGCAGCAAGCGUUGUUCGGAGUUACUGGGCGUAAAGAGUGCGUAGGUGGUGCCCUAAGUCUGUUGUGAAAUCUCCCGGCUUAACUGGGAGGGUGCGGUGGAAACUGGGGUGCUUGAGUGUGGGAGAGGUAAGCGGAAUUCCUGGUGUAGCGGUGAAAUGCGUAGAGAUGUGGAGGAACACCGAUGGCGAAGGCAGCCCCCUGGGUCAACACUGACGCCCAUGCACGAAAGCGUGGGGAGCAAACAGG
Molecule: ribosomal RNA, 253 nt
Filed under: uncultured bacterium
Lineage: Bacteria
Description: partial 16S ribosomal RNA
Rfam family: Bacterial small subunit ribosomal RNA
Source: RNAcentral